UACGGGGGGGGCAAGCGUUGUUCGGAAUUACUGGGCGUAAAGGGCUCGUAGGUGGCCAACUAAGUCACACGUGAAAUCCCUCGGCUUAACCGGGGAACUGCGUGUGAUACUGGUUGGCUUGAGUUUGGGAGAGGGACGCGGAAUUCCAGGUGUAGCGGUGAAAUGCGUAGAUAUCUGGAGGAACACCGGUGGCGAAGGCGGCGUCCUGGACCAAUACUGACACUGAGGAGCGAAAGCCAGGGGAGCAAACAGG
Molecule: ribosomal RNA, 253 nt
Filed under: uncultured bacterium
Lineage: Bacteria
Description: partial 16S ribosomal RNA
Rfam family: Bacterial small subunit ribosomal RNA
Source: RNAcentral